CACGACUGUGGGCACGAGUAGCAAGGCUGCAGCAGCACAUUGACUAUAGAAUGAAAUGCAUCCUACAGGAAGGCACAAUCUUCUUUGGCAUCUUUAAGGCGUUUGACAAGCAUGUGAAUUUGAUCCUCUGCGAUUGUGAUGAGUUCAGAAAGAUCAAGCCAAAGAACGUGAAGCAACCAGAGCUCGAAGAAAAGCACUUUUGGGGUCUGGUGUUGCUGCAUGGGGAGAACUUGGUAUCCAUGACUGUGGAGGGGCUACCCCCAAAAUAUACUGGCAUUGCUCGGGUACCACUUGCUGGAGCUGCAGGAGGCCCUGGAGUUGUUAGGGCAGCUGGUAGAGGAGUAUCAGCUGGUGUACCAAUUCCCCAGGCUCCUGGUGGAUUAGCAGGCCCCGUCCCAGGAGUUGGGGGACCAUCCCAGCAGGUAAUGACUCCACAGAGAAGAGCAUUACUGGAGCCCCAACACAGUACCCACCAGGACCGGGGGCUCCACCCCCACCUGUUGGCAGAGCAGCCCCACCUCUAGGCAUUAUGUUUCCUCCACCUGGUAUGAAACCACCCAUGGGCCCACCAAUUGGGCUUCCCCUUGCUAGAGGGACGCCAGUAGGCAUGCCCCCUCCAGGAAUGAGACCCUUUCCACCAGGAAUGCAUCCACCAAGACCCUGGGAUAUUGCUGAUCCAUCU
Molecule: long non-coding RNA, 682 nt
Filed under: Homo sapiens (human)
Lineage: Eukaryota; Metazoa; Chordata; Mammalia; Primates; Hominidae
Description: non-protein coding lnc-PLA2G3-2:1
Source: RNAcentral